Mustela erminea (ermine) is the source of this 1280-nucleotide long non-coding RNA. RefSeq lists it as uncharacterized. The transcript has 4 exons. Lineage: Eukaryota; Metazoa; Chordata; Mammalia; Carnivora; Mustelidae. The record is from RefSeq and is a predicted model, not a curated record.
GCGAGGCCACGCCUCCUAAAGGAGUCGAAGAUUCAGCGCCUGUUGUAGACCUCCGGCCGCCCUUGAAAGCACUAGUCUCGUCGACGAGUUCCAGAGGAACAAACCUACUCCCCUAUUAUUGAGCUACGUUUGCUAUGCUAGCCUUCUAGAUGAUUGAGGGCUCGCAGAAGGCUCUUUCUGCCUAGCCCGUUCUCCCCUAAAGCGGUCAGAGCGUGAAUCUCUCCCACUUCACGUCGUUUUCCUGACAAGGUAGCACCAAAGCAGCACUGUUUGGGAUAAGUGCAGUGAACACCAGCAAAUUUUUAUGGAGAACUUCUUGGGCCAGGCGCUAGGUCAGCUCUCAGAAGCGUCAUCAGAAAGGAGAAAGGGCUGCUAACGGCGCUGGCAAGGCGGAGACACGAUUGCGUGGUGAGGUGGCAAGAGCUGAGAGAGGGCUGCUCCAGCCAGUGGAAGGAACCUAGCCUUGGGGUGAAACUAUCCUGGAAUCAAAUCCUGAUGCUGCACCUCCACUGUCACCUGUGUGAGCAACUCAACCUCUCUGGGCCUCAGUUUCCUCAUCUGUAAGGAAACGUCAUGUACUGUACUUUACAGCAUCAUUAUAUGAAGAAGCCGCCAAAAGAAGUCCUCCAAUGUAUACAAGCCAAAGAACGGCAAAAUGUAGGUCUGCUGUCCCCUGAGGAGCUGCAUGGACUCACACCCCAGAGACCGCACCACGGCUCCUGUCCCUCCUGCCCCCUCGGCCCCACCAGUGCCCACUGGAGUGGUCACUGCUCUCCAGCUGACAGCCCCCAUCCCCGGGCCCAGUGGACGGCAGCCACAGGCACCUGCCAGGACAGGGGGCAGGGCCAUGACACCUCCCUGCCACCCCCCUGCCCCCAAACUCCUGCAUUCAGCUUGCUGACAGGUCUCGAUGCUCUGACACCUUCUCUGGCUCCUCCCCACCAUCAAGACAGAAUGGUCUGGCAUUUAGGGCCCUUCAGGGUCUGGUUUUAUUUUACAUUGAAAAUGGGAUUUUGACCAUUAAAUUUUCUUGCAGAAUAAAGUGGAUAAACAGGAAGACAAUCUAUAUCUGGUUACCACAGUUAAUUGUUUGCUGUUUCCUAGUGUUUUCUCUCUUGAUUUUCCAGGAACUUCUAGGAAGAGAAGCGUGUCAUCCACAAAUAACUAUGUCAAUUCCUUGCCAACAUUUAUAGUUCUGUACCCAUCAGAAAUUCUCUUUGCAAACAACAGAAACCAGAUCUACUUAAACUAACACUGGAAGGCUACUGGCAGAAUCAAAC